ACGGGUGAGUAACACGUGGGUAACCUGCCUGUAAGACUGGGAUAACUCCGGGAAACCGGGGCUAAUACCGGAUGCUUGUUUGAACCGCAUGGUUCAGACAUAAAAGGUGGCUUCGGCUACCACUUACAGAUGGACCCCCGGCGCAAUAACUAGUUGGUGAGGUAACGGCUCAACAAGGCCACGAAGCCUAACCCAACUGAAAAGGUGAACCGCCACACUGGGACUGAAACCCCGCCCAAACUCCUACCGGAAGCAACAAUAAGGAAUCCUCCCCAAUGGACCAAAAUCUGAACGAACAACCCCCCCUGAAUUAAGAAAGUUUUCCGAACCUAAAACUCUGUUGUUAAGGAAAAACAGUUCCGUUCCAAUAAGGCGGCACCUUGACGGUACCUAACCCGAAAGCCACGGCUAACUACGUGCCAACAACCCCGGUAAUACCUAAGUGGCAAGCGUUGUCCGGAAUUAUUGGGCGUAAAAGGCUCGCAGGCCGUUUCUUAAGUCUGAAGUGAAAGCCCCCGGCUCAACCGGGGAAGGUCAUUUGAAACUGGGGAACUUUAAUGCAGAAAAGAAGUGGAAUCCCGUGUAACGGUUAAUUCCUAAAAUUGGAAGAAACCAGUUGCCAAAGGGACUCUCUGGGCUGUACUGACCUGAGGGCGAAACGUGUGGAGCAACCCAUUAUAUACCCGGUGUCCCCCCCUAAACAUUAGGCCCACGGUGAAGGGCUCCCCCCCUUUGUGCACGUACUCCUAUUAAUCCACCGCCGGGGAGGGCGCGGAG
This 777-nucleotide ribosomal RNA is filed under the name uncultured Bacillus sp. Its description in RNAcentral is "bacterial SSU rRNA". It matches the Rfam family "Bacterial small subunit ribosomal RNA", at positions 102 to 873 of the family's 1533-position model. The record is from RNAcentral. Lineage: Bacteria; Bacillati; Bacillota; Bacilli; Caryophanales; Bacillaceae.